AAUCAACGCUGGCGGCGUGCCUCAGACAUGCAAGUCGAACGAUUAAAGCUCUCUUCGGAGAGUGUAUAGAGUGGCGCACGGGUGAGUAACACGUAAGUAAUCUACCUUCGAGUGGGGAAUAACACCGAGAAAUCGGUGCUAAUACCGCAUAAUGCAGCGGCAUCGCAAGAUGACAGUUGUUAAAGAUUUAUCGCUUGAAGAGGAGCUUGCGGCAGAUUAGCUAGUUGGUAAGGUAAUGGCUUACCAAGGCUACGAUCUGUAACCGGUCUAAGAGGACGGUCGGUCACACUGACACUGAAUAACGGGUCAGACUCCUACGGGAGGCAGCAGUCGGGAAUUUUGGGCAAUGGGCGAAAGCCUGACCCAGCAACGCCGCGUGAAGGAUGAAGUAUUUCGGUAUGUAAACUUCGAAAGAAUAGGAAGAAUAAAUAGACGGUACUAUUUAUAAGGUCCGGCUAACUACGUGCCAGCCGCCGCCGU
This 480-nucleotide ribosomal RNA is filed under the name uncultured bacterium. RNAcentral's name for it is "bacterial SSU rRNA". It matches the Rfam family "Bacterial small subunit ribosomal RNA", at positions 32 to 521 of the family's 1533-position model. The record is from RNAcentral.